RNAcentral lists this unclassified non-coding RNA (280 nucleotides) under uncultured fungus. RNAcentral's name for it is "partial contains small subunit ribosomal RNA, internal transcribed spacer 1, and 5.8S ribosomal RNA". The stretch from base 1 to 73 matches the Rfam family "Eukaryotic small subunit ribosomal RNA", at positions 1759 to 1831 of the family's 1831-position model. Lineage: Eukaryota; Fungi. The record is from RNAcentral.
CCAAACUUGGUCAUUUAGAGGAAGUAAAAGUCGUAACAAGGUCUCCGUAGGUGAACCUGCGGAGGGAUCAUUACGAGAGCGCCCGGCCCCUCCGGGGCCGGCCUCCCCACCCCGUGUGAUCGUCACGAUCGUUGCUUUGGCGGGUCGUGCCGGGCCCACGUCCGACCACCCGCCAGAGCCCCCCAUUAACGCGAGAUGUGGCCGUUGUCCGAGCCUAUAUAUAAUAACCAAAACUUUCAACAACGGAUCUCUUGGCUCUGGCAUCGAUGAAGAACGCAGC